UACGUAGGGGGCGAGCGUUGUCCGGAAUCACUGGGCGUAAAGGGCGCGUAGGCGGUAAUAUAAGUCAGAUGUGAAAGGUGGGGGCUCAACCCCUAGAGUGCAACUGAUACUGUAUAACUUGAGUGUGAGAGAGGGAAGCGGAAUUCCUAGUGUAGCGGUGAAAUGCGUAGAUAUUAGGAGGAACACCAGCGGCGAAGGCGGCUUACUGGACCGUGACUGACGUUGAGGCUCGAAAGCGUGGGGAGCAAACAGG
Molecule: ribosomal RNA, 253 nt
Filed under: uncultured Peptococcaceae bacterium
Lineage: Bacteria; Bacillati; Bacillota; Clostridia; Eubacteriales; Peptococcaceae
Description: partial 16S ribosomal RNA
Rfam family: Bacterial small subunit ribosomal RNA
Source: RNAcentral